CAGAGGGGGGCAAGCGUUACUCGGAAUUAUUGGGCGUAAAGGGCGCGUAGGCGGCUUUGCAAGUGACGGGUGAAAUCCCUCGGCUUAACCGAGGAACUGCCUGUCAGACUGUGAGGCUUGAGACCGGGAGAGGUGAGUGGAAUUCCCAGUGUAGCGGUGAAAUGCGUAGAUAUUGGGAGGAACACCAGUGGCGAAGGCGGCUCACUGGACCGGAACUGACGCUGAGGCGCGAAAGCGUGGGGAGCAAACAGGAUUAGAUACCCUGGUAGUCCACGCCGUAAACGAUGAGUGCUUGGUGUAGCGGGUAUCGACCCCUGCUGUGCCGAAGUCAACACAUUAAGCACUCCGCCUGGGGAGUACGAUCGCAAGACUG
RNAcentral lists this ribosomal RNA (373 nucleotides) under uncultured organism. RNAcentral describes it as "bacterial SSU rRNA". It matches the Rfam family "Bacterial small subunit ribosomal RNA", at positions 525 to 896 of the family's 1533-position model. The record is from RNAcentral.